GAUGAACGCUGGCGGCGUGCUUAACACAUGCAAGUCGAACGAUGAAGCCCAGCUUGCUGGGUGGAUUAGUGGCGAACGGGUGAGUAACACGUGAGUAACCUGCCCUUAACUCUGGGAUAAGCCUGGGCAACUGGGACUAAUACCGGAUAGGAGCGUCCACCGCCUGGUGGGAGCUGGAAAGAUUUAUCGGUUUUGGAUGGACUCGCGGCCUAUCAGCUUGUUGGUGAGGUAAUGGCUAACCAAGGCGACGACGGGUAGCCGGCCUGAGAGGGUGACCGGCCACACUGGGACUGAGACACGGCCCAGACUCCUACGGGAGGCAGCAGUGGGGAAUAUUGCACAAUGGGCGCAAGCCUGAUGCAGCGACGCCGCGUGAGGGAUGACGGCCUUCGGGUUGUAAACCUCUUUCAGUAGGGAAGAAGCGAAAGUGACGGUACCUGCAGAAGAAGCACCGGCUAACUACGUG
This 466-nucleotide ribosomal RNA is filed under the name uncultured bacterium. Its description in RNAcentral is "partial 16S ribosomal RNA". It matches the Rfam family "Bacterial small subunit ribosomal RNA", at positions 28 to 507 of the family's 1533-position model. The record is from RNAcentral.